This is a long non-coding RNA of Mastacembelus armatus (zig-zag eel), 2540 nucleotides long. The record is from Ensembl. NCBI's taxonomy places the organism in Eukaryota, Metazoa, Chordata, Actinopteri, Synbranchiformes, Mastacembelidae.
AAUGCACUUAUUAGCCAAAGUAGAGCAGAACCUUGUCAUCAGUUUAGAUGACUCUAGGGUUGCAGCAGUAUCCAGAAAUGGAUGGUUAUUAUACAAUGUACAGUUGUUUAUUACUGGUAUUUAAAAUAGAACAAACUGAGAAUGUCAUUUGCAAAUGGUGGUGUGACAGCUGAUAGAAGUGAGUAUAUGAGUUAAAAGUACAGACAAGAUCUGUGGAUGCUGUGGUGCUCCUUUACUAAACUGACAAGUAUUUCAAUCAAUGUUUAGAGAACCUUUGAUGGCAUUUCUCUCUACUUUUUAACAAACCAAACCAUUAAUAGAAAUAAAUAAAACAGCAGAAUAAUCCACAAUGAAAAUAAGCAUUAGUUGCAGUUGGAUACAAAAUAGUUCAAAAUAGCUCCAUCUCAGCCAACUUUACAUUCAAGCAGGACUAAUUAUAUUAUAUAGUGCAACAGUCACAGAGUACAUGUCCACACUGAGUACUUUAAUACUUCAAAUACAUUUUUGUAACAAUAUUUACAUGCAUUCGAAAUGCAGGACUUUUAUUCGUAACAGAGAACUUUUACAGUGUAGCAUUAGUACUUAGUGUGAAUAUGUCUUGCAGCACUGGUGAUUGUGAGAACCCCUAGUCAAAUACAAAUUCAACCUAAAAAAAGACUACAAUAACAAAAAGGAAUAACAGAAAUAAGACAUUUUCUAGUAAAUAAAAAACCCCUAAUACAGGAAAAGUAAGGGAUAUUGCACUUCUGCAGUCUAAUUUGCUUACCAGUCACACACCAAAAUGGAAAUGUAGAAAUGUGUAUUCCACAUUUAAGCUUGCAAUCUCUAAAAUAGAUGAGUGAGAAUUACAAAUGCUACUUUUAAAGGGAUGUAUCAGUUUUUCUUUGGACAACAUUGAAGGAUUAGUCAAGAGAAAGAGUGCUUAUGCUGGUCAGGACUGCUGGAGCCCAUGAGAUUACGCUGGUUUUGGAGUCUGCUGAUCUCAAGAUGAUACUCCAUGCAAAUUGCCUCUAAGCCCUAAGAAGUAGUUUCAAAAUGCACUAUGUGUUUUUGUGCCUGUAAAUUUAUCCAGGGCCCACAGCAAAGCCAGACAGCACUUAAGUCUGACACUGAGAUUGAGUGAAUGCCUCUGAAUAUUGGUGGUUUCACAAAGCUACAGCAGAAACAUCCCAGUUUAUAAAAAGGCUUUGUGCAUUGUGCAGGUGAGAUAUAAAAAACAUCUUAAGACACUGUUUUGAGUACUUUGAGUACUUUAAGUCCCAAAGGCACAUACACAAAAGGCAUAGAAAAUGGGAAAACAAUUUUCCCAUUGUGUUUUCAGUAGUGAUAUUUUGGAGCAGGUGAGCGCCAAAUGUUCUGUGCCUAUGACAUGAAACCAAUCAAGCUUUCACAGUGUCCCUUAAGGAUGCCUAAAAAUGCAUGAUCCCAAUAAAGAGGGAUUUGUGCUGUUUGAAGACGUAGUAGAUUUAAAGGUGCUUUACUUACAACAAAGGUCAUGAAGAUCAAUACGGUUUUUAAGUCUGGGGUUUCGAUUGAUUGAUUGAUUGAUUGAUUGACCCCCCCCCCCCCUCGCUCUCUCUCUUUCAGUCUCAUUUUUGGUCCAUCAUUCACAAAACAAAAGGAUCACUGACAUCAAUCAACCGCCAGUCACACCACAGAUUUAUUAUUUCAAAAAACUAGUUCAGUGAUAAUUUACAGUAUUAUGCAGUAGUGUGCUAGGAAGGGAGGAAAUAAAAAAAGAGGUCAGACAAUAUUGCUGAUCGACUGAACAUGUGAAGCAUUUACAGUCUCACGUGUGACCUUUCAUCAUCAGUAGCCCAUUUUAACACUUCAAUUUCCUGUAACUUCUGACCCUAACAAUGCUGUUGCUUUCAGGAGAGUGAUAAACCAAAGUGUGUCCCUUUUUGUCAAUUUUGUGCACUACUUGAGAAAGAGAGGGAAAUGAGAGUAAGGUAAAAACCAGUUUAGCUGUUGCACGUUAAUAAACAGGCUCAUUUCCAAGGAUUCUGCUGGGCAGAUGGCAACAACACGUGCUGUCACUAAGAGCAGUGAUGACAGUCUCAUCUCUGUCUUUCGGUCCUUUUUUAGCCAUUUGUUUUUCUUAAGUGAAACACUAUCAAAAGCAAACUUAUGAUUAAUUCUCCUUCCAGAAUGUGUUAAAUAUAACUGCUACCAUUGAUGUAGAUUUGUUUUUAGUUAAGUAACCACUUGUAAUUAUAAUAUUACACACAAUAAGGGAUUACCAGGAUAUGAUCUGUAUUGUAUCUUUAACAUCCUGCAGAAACCAGCAUUUUCUCUUUCAUCCGCAAAUCUUUAUAUUUUAUGUUUAAAAUUUGUAUAGUUUAAAAUUUAAUGUUUAAUGUUUUAAAUUUGUAUCACAUUAACAUCCUCCAUUGCAUCACAGAUAUGGUCGGCCUUAAAGUCGUCUGUGAAGAGAAGAGUUAACUGUCAAGUUGCCACUGUUAGUGGCUUAGAUCAGAGCUCUAAUGGCCUCUGGGUGUUUAGAGGGAGGUUUGAUUUGCUUCAUCAGUGAGAGAAAG